AACGAACGCUGGCGGCAGGCCUAACACAUGCAAGUCGAACGAGAAACCAGAGCUUGCUCUGGCGGAAAGUGGCAGACGGGUGAGUAACGCGUGGGAAUUUACCCAGUGGUACGGAAUAACUCAGGGAAACUUGUGCUAAUACCGUAUACGCCCUUCGGGGGAAAGAGUUUAUCGCCAUUGGAUGAGCCCGCGUUAGAUUAGUUUGUUGGUGGGGUAAUGGCCUACCAAGACUACGAUCUAUAGCUGGUCUGAGAGGAUGAUCAGCCACACUGGGACUGAGACACGGCCCAGACUCCUACGGGAGGCAGCAGUGGGGAAUAUUGCACAAUGGGCGCAAGCCUGAUGCAGCCAUGCCGCGUGAGUGAAGAAGGCCUUAGGGUUGUAAAACUCUUUCACCGGUGAAGAUAAUGACGGUAGCCGGAGAAGAAGCCCCGGCUAACUCCGUG
RNAcentral lists this ribosomal RNA (446 nucleotides) under uncultured bacterium. RNAcentral describes it as "bacterial SSU rRNA". It matches the Rfam family "Bacterial small subunit ribosomal RNA", at positions 29 to 507 of the family's 1533-position model. The record is from RNAcentral.